CAGAGGUGGCAAGCGUUGUUCGGAAUUACUGGGCGUAAAGGGCGCGUAGGCGGCCAUCUAAGUCAGACGUGAAAUCCCCCGGCUUAACCUGGGAACUGCGUCUGAUACUGGACGGCUCGAGUUUGGGAGAGGGAUGCAGAAUUCCAGGUGUAGCGGUGAAAUGCGUAGAUAUCUGGAGGAAUACCGGUGGCGAAGGCGGCAUCCUGGACUAACACUGACGCUGAGGCGCGAAAGCUAGGGGAGCAAACGGGAUUAGAUACCCCGGUAGUCCUAGCCCUAAACGAUGAAUGCUUGGUGUGGCGGGUAUCGAUCCCUGCCGUGCCGAAGCUAACGCAUUAAGCAUUCCGCCUGGGGAGUACGGUCGCAAGGCUG
This 372-nucleotide ribosomal RNA is filed under the name uncultured organism. RNAcentral's name for it is "bacterial SSU rRNA". It matches the Rfam family "Bacterial small subunit ribosomal RNA", at positions 526 to 896 of the family's 1533-position model. The record is from RNAcentral.